CCUACGGGAGGCUGCAGUGGGGGAUAUUGCACAAUGGGGGGAACCCUGAUGCAGCGACGCCGCGUGGGUGAAGAAGCGCCUCGGCGCGUAAAGCCCUGUCAGCAGGGAAGAAAAUGACGGUACCUGAAGAAUAAGCCCCGGCUAACUACGUUCCAGCAGCCGCGGUAAUACGUAGGGGGCAAGCGUUAUCCGGAUUUACUGGGUGUAAUGGGGGCGCAGACGGCGCUGCAAGCCAGGAGUGAAAGCCCGGGGCUCAACCCCGGGACUGCUGUUGGAACUGCGUGGCUGGAGUGCAGGAGGGGCAGGCGGAAGUCCUGGUGUAGCGGUGAAAUGCGUAGAUAUCAGGAGGAACACCGGUGGCGAAGGCGGCCUGCUGGACUGCAACUGACGUUGAGGCCCGAAAGCGUGGGGAGCAAACAGGAUUAGAUACCCGGGUAGUC
This 440-nucleotide ribosomal RNA is filed under the name uncultured bacterium. Its description in RNAcentral is "partial 16S ribosomal RNA". It matches the Rfam family "Bacterial small subunit ribosomal RNA", at positions 338 to 795 of the family's 1533-position model. The record is from RNAcentral.